GACGAACGCUGGCGGCGUGCCUAACACAUGCAAGUCGAACGAGGUCCAUCCUUCGGGAGAAGACCUAGUGGCGAACGGGUGAGUAACACGUGAGGAACCUGCCCCGAAGACCGGGAUAACCCUCCGAAAGGAGAGCUAAUACCGGAUACCCCCACCGAACCGCAUGGUUUGGUGAGGAAAUGGAUUCCGCUUCGGGAGGGCCUCGCGGCCUAUCAGCUAGUUGGUGGGGUAACGGCCCACCAAGGCAUCGACGGGUAGCUGGUCUGAGAGGACGAUCAGCCACACUGGGACUGAGACACGGCCCAGACUCCUACGGGAGGCAGCAGUGGGGAAUCUUGCGCAAUGGGCGAAAGCCUGACGCAGCAACGCCGCGUGGGGGAUGAAGGCUCUCGGGUUGUAAACCCCUUUCAGCAGGGACGAAUCAAGACGGUACCUGCAGAAGAAGCCCCGGCUAACUACGUG
This 462-nucleotide ribosomal RNA is filed under the name uncultured bacterium. RNAcentral's name for it is "bacterial SSU rRNA". It matches the Rfam family "Bacterial small subunit ribosomal RNA", at positions 28 to 507 of the family's 1533-position model. The record is from RNAcentral.